UGAUAUUUCUGCAUGAGUCAUGCCCCGAGAUAAUUAACUCUGACCCUCUUGAAUCUCUGGCCUUUUCUUUGAUCUUCUCGAAUGUAUACUAUCCACAUGCCCUUGGCCCUACCCUUCGGAUGCUUAUAUGUAACAGUAUUCCUCCUUAACUCUAGCUUCUUAUGGAACCAAUAUCUGGUUUCAUCUAUCAGAACUAUUAAUCAAUAAGAAGUGUGGAUUAUUGGAGCCUACAAACAAUAGUUUUCAAAAAUAUAUAAUCCGUGUAAAAAAAUUACAAAGUCGUAAUAUAGAAGACAUUGUUGGGAAUUGGAUAAAAUGUUGUAAGAUGUUAAGCGUUUUGCAUGAGUUGAAAAAAGGAAAAGAAAUUGUGUUAUUGGGAUUCAAAAUUCAAAUAUUGGUGUGGGUUCUCUCUAUAGUUUAAAAUGAAUGCAUUUUUUAUUGCUCUCCUCUCUCCCCCUCUGUCCUCAAAGAUGCUCAUCUUUCUUUGUUUUUUAAAACUGUCUUGGUUUUUGCGUUUCUCCUUUUUACUUCUCUAAUUGUAGGUUUGCUUUUUGUUUAUUGAUUUUUGAGUGAAAAGCUCAUAAUAAGAAUUAGACUUCUGAUUAGAUUACUUUUGCCUAUACAAUUAAAAAACUUUAAUCUUGCCAGACGAGAUGCGUAGAAUAUUCAAAAUAUUCAAUUGUAGGCAGAAUAUUUUAGUUCCCUUUUGCUAUUGCUUUAGCUCAAUUUGUCCAUAUAAUAUGAACCAGUCUCUUCAAUUUCAAAACAUAUUCCAACAGAAAUUCUGAAUGUCACUGCAGAUUGUCAAUGGUGAUAUUUGUUUGGAUAGCAGAAGCGAAGAGAGUCGGCACAAGUGAGCAAGCAAAUUUUCCUGUAAUGAAUGGGAUAAAUAAGGUUCUCCUUUCACUAUUAAGAUUUUUGUUCGUGUCAUUAGAGAGUAUUAUUGAAUUGAAAAGAAGUCUCUGGUUGGUGAAGGACAGACAUGGUCCACAGAUACUAUGUAGCUUUGUUGGUUGGAUCAUAACUAGUUUGGUGGCUAAACAAUGGAGUGUGAUUUAAGAAGUAUUUCUGCACGUACACAUACAUUUCAUCUUUGCAUUCAUCAACCGAUCUACGUAUAGAUUAUGUUGUUUCAUUUUUAUCCAUUCCUUUUUGUGAUAAAAGUUGGGUGAGGAGAGAAGAAGAGGGGGAAGUUUACAAGAGGAAGAUAAAUUCUCUGUUGCCUCCUUUGGGAAGUGGUGAAGACCCUUUUCUUCAGACCCCUUUCGCUUUCUCUCUUUUUUAGCUGAGUGUGUAGAGUUUUAUUUGCAUAUCAUCUUGGUUUGUCCAUAAUUAAAAAUUGAAUAUUCUAUUUUCAGAUUUGUGUUAAAAUUUUUAGGAGAUAAAUAAUUAAUUAUCUAAAAUUCCACUAAAUAUACUGAAAAGUAUUUACAAAAGAAGAAAAUCAAUAAUAACAAGUAUGUUUAUAAUGUGGUUAUAAGCAAGUACACGUGUAAGAUUAGACUUAGAAAAUGAACAUGUGUACAUAUUCAAUCUUAUGUGUAAUGUAAAUUCACCAAGCAAUAACAUAUAUAACUUUAAUUCUAUUGCGAAGCACUUGUUUACGAUCAUUGGCUGCUUCUGUUUGAUUUUGAAGUAAGAUUUUAGACUAUCUUAAGAUAUAAUUGGACUAAGAUUUCUCAUGAAUCUAAUUACUCUAAUUUAUGUUAUGAAUUUUUUUAUUUACAGACUGUCUUAAAGUAUGAUACUUUGUCCAAAUUUAGCAUUAGGUUUUAACCUAUCAAAAAAUUUUAUUUUAAAAAAUCUACAUACAUAAUUGAGCUUAGGUGUUCCUAUAAAAUUUUAGCUCUAACUUUUAGGGUCCAUCUGGUUCUGGUCUCACAUCAUUUUACUAAGUGAAAGUCUAAUUAAUAAUCUUUCAAAAUUAUUCUUUCAAUUCUGUAUUUAGUUUCUUUGCUUAAACCUUCCUAAAAUUAUUUAACAUCCCAAGUAAUACUUUUUACACACCAAAAGGAAAAUUUCAAACAUUCAAAUACAAGGUCUAAUUUAAGAUAUCCAAAGAAAAAUAAUUGAAAAAUAGAAAAUACAUAAAACACCAAAAUUAUUUCAAAGGGCGGGCACAUCUUUUCUUUUUUCCUUUAGCCUUUUGAAGUUCCUUUCUCCUUUUAAACUUUCUCUUUACCAAAAAUAUAUAUAAAAAAAGCAUUUCACUUUAAAUUUCAUUAUAAAAGAGCUUAAAAACAUGUAAAAGCGUGAUUUCCUAACCUAAUCUUCCAUAAACUUCACUUUCUCUCACUUACCUCCUUUGAACACCAAACUUCUCACUUUGAUUUCUUCUUGUUUAUGGUUCCU
This 2352-nucleotide long non-coding RNA is filed under the name Manihot esculenta (cassava). Its description in RNAcentral is "long non-coding RNA (MESC_LNC001479)". Lineage: Eukaryota; Viridiplantae; Streptophyta; Magnoliopsida; Malpighiales; Euphorbiaceae. The record is from RNAcentral.